Molecule: ribosomal RNA, 489 nt
Filed under: Bacillus sp. D3
Lineage: Bacteria; Bacillati; Bacillota; Bacilli; Caryophanales; Bacillaceae
Description: bacterial SSU rRNA
Rfam family: Bacterial small subunit ribosomal RNA
Source: RNAcentral
CGGCGUGCCUAAUACAUGCAAGUCGAGCGAACAGAGAAGGAGCUUGCUCCUUUGACGUUAGCGGCGGACGGGUGAGUAACACGUGGGCAACCUACCCUAUAGUUUGGGAUAACUCCGGGAAACCGGGGCUAAUACCGAAUAAUCUAUUGUCCCUCAUGRGACAAUACUGAAAGACGGCAUCUCGCUGUCGYUAUAGGAUGGGCCCGCGGCGCAUUAGCUAGUUGGUGAGGUAACGGCUCACCAAGGCGACGAUGCGUAGCCGACCUGAGAGGGUGAUCGGCCACACUGGGACUGAGACACGGCCCAGACUCCUACGGGAGGCAGCAGUAGGGAAUCUUCCACAAUGGGCGAAAGCCUGAUGGAGCAACGCCGCGUGAGUGAAGAAGGAUUUCGGUUCGUAAAACUCUGUUGUAAGGGAAGAACAAGUACAGUAGUAACUGGCUGUACCUUGACGGUACCUUAUUAGAAAGCCACGGCUAACUACGUGCC